This 61-nucleotide transfer RNA is filed under the name Bigelowiella natans. The record is from RNAcentral. Lineage: Eukaryota; Cercozoa; Chlorarachniophyceae.
UGGAUUAUUUACAACGCGACCAAUGAUAUUAACAACUUCAGGAUAUAUUUUUGACGAAUAU